AUUAUACAGCGAAACUGCGAAUGGCUCAUUAUAUAAGUUAUCGUUUAUUUGAUAGUACCUUACUACUUGGAUAACCGUGGUAAUUCUAGAGCUAAUACAUGCUAAAAAUCCCGACUUCGGAAGGGAUGUAUUUAUUAGAUUAAAAACCAAUGCCCUCUGGGCUCCUUGGUGAUUCAUAAUAACUUUUCGAAUCGCAUGGCCUUGCGCCGGCGAUGGUUCAUUCAAAUUUCUUCCCUAUCAACUUUCGAUGUUUGGGUAUUGGCCAAACAUGGUCGCAACGGGUAACGGAGGGUUAGGGCUCGACCCCGGAGAAGGAGCCUGAGAAACGGCUACUACAUCCAAGGAAGGCAGCAGGCGCGCAAAUUACCCAAUCCCGAUUCGGGGAGGUAGUGACAAUAAAUACUGAUACAGGGCUCUUUUGGGUCUUGUAAUUGGAAUGAGUACAAUUUAAAUCCCUUAACGAGGAACAAUUGGAGGGCAAGUCUGGUGCCAGCAGCCGCGGUAAUUCCAGCUCCAAUAGCGUAUAUUAAAGUUGUUGUGGUUAAAAAGCUCGUAGUUGAACCUUGGGCCUGGCUGGCCGGUCCGCCUCACCGCGUGUACUGGUCCGGCCGGGCCUUUCCCUCUGUGGAACCUCAUGCCCUUCACUGGGUGUGGCGGGGAAACAGGACUUUUACUUUGAAAAAAUUAGAGUGCUCCAGGCAGGCCUAUGCUCGAAUACAUUAGCAUGGAAUAAUGAAAUAGGACGUGUGGUUCUAUUUUGUUGGUUUCUAGGACCGCCGUAAUGAUUAAUAGGGACAGUCGGGGGCAUCAGUAUUCAAUUGUCAGAGGUGAAAUUCUUGGAUUUAUUGAAGACUAACUACUGCGAAAGCAUUUGCCAAGGAUGUUUUCAUUAAUCAGGAACGAAAGUUAGGGGAUCGAAGACGAUCAGAUACCGUCGUAGUCUUAACCAUAAACUAUGCCGACUAGGGAUCGGACGAUGUUAUUUUUUGACGCGUUCGGCACCUUACGAGAAAUCAAAGUGCUU
This 1024-nucleotide ribosomal RNA is filed under the name Samsoniella cardinalis. RNAcentral describes it as "SSU rRNA". It matches the Rfam family "Eukaryotic small subunit ribosomal RNA", at positions 73 to 1108 of the family's 1831-position model. The record is from RNAcentral. Lineage: Eukaryota; Fungi; Ascomycota; Sordariomycetes; Hypocreales; Cordycipitaceae.